RNAcentral lists this ribosomal RNA (498 nucleotides) under uncultured bacterium. RNAcentral describes it as "partial 16S ribosomal RNA". It matches the Rfam family "Bacterial small subunit ribosomal RNA", at positions 30 to 523 of the family's 1533-position model. The record is from RNAcentral.
AUUGAACGCUGGCGGCAUGCCUUACACAUGCAAGUCGAACGGUAACAGGUCUUCGGAUGCUGACGAGUGGCGAACGGGUGAGUAAUACAUCGGAACGUGCCUAGUAGUGGGGGAUAACUACUCGAAAGAGUGGCUAAUACCGCAUGAGAUCUACGGAUGAAAGCAGGGGAUCGCAAGACCUUGUGCUACUAGAGCGGCCGAUGGCAGAUUAGGUAGUUGGUGGGAUAAAAGCUUACCAAGCCGACGGUCUGUAGCUGGUCUGAGAGGACGAUCAGCCACACUGGGACUGAGAAACGGCCCAGACUCCUACGGGAGACAGCAGUGGGGAAUUUUGGACAAUGGGCGCAAGCCUGAUCCAGCAAUGCCGCGUGCAGGAUGAAGGCCUUCGGGUUGUAAACUGCUUUUGUACGGAACGAAAAGCCCCGGGUUAAUACCCUGGGGUCAUGACGGUACCGUAAGAAUAAGCACCGGCUAACUACGUGCCAGCAGCCGCAGUAA